RNAcentral lists this ribosomal RNA (466 nucleotides) under uncultured bacterium. Its description in RNAcentral is "partial 16S ribosomal RNA". It matches the Rfam family "Bacterial small subunit ribosomal RNA", at positions 28 to 507 of the family's 1533-position model. The record is from RNAcentral.
GAUGAACGCUGGCGGCGUGCUUAACACAUGCCAGUCGAACGGCAAGGCACUUAGUUCCUGCGGUUCUCGAGUGGCGAACGGGUGAGUAACACGUGGGUAACCUGCCCUGCACUUUGGGAUAAGAUUAGGAAACUGGGCCUACUACCGGAUAGCACACGAGCUUGGGUGCCAUGGAGGGGAGCUUUUUCGGUGUGGGGUGUGCACGCGGCUUAUCAGCUUUUGCGUGGGGUAGUGGCAUACGAAGGCGUAGGCGGGUAGCCGGCCCGGGAGGGUGUACGGGGACAAGGGGCCUGCGAGACGGAGCAGUCUCGUACGGGAGGCAGCAGUGGGGAAUAUUGCACAAUGGGAGCAAGCCUGAUGCAGCGACGCUGCGUGUGUGAUGACGGUCUUUGGGUUGUGAACGGCUUCCGGUUGGGACGAAGCGGUAGUGACGGUACCCGGAGAAGAAGCACCGGCUAACUACGUG